RNAcentral lists this ribosomal RNA (253 nucleotides) under uncultured bacterium. RNAcentral describes it as "partial 16S ribosomal RNA". It matches the Rfam family "Bacterial small subunit ribosomal RNA", at positions 524 to 776 of the family's 1533-position model. The record is from RNAcentral.
UACGUGGGGGGCAAGCGUUGUUCGGAAUUACUGGGCGUAAAGGGCUCGUAGGCGGCCAACUAAGUCAUACGUGAAAUCCCUCGGCUUAACCGGGGAACUGCGUGUGAUACUGGAUGGCUUGAGAUUGGGAGAGGGAUGCGGAAUUCCAGGUGUAGCGGUGAAAUGCGUAGAUAUCUGGAGGAACACCGGUGGCGAAGGCGGCAUCCUGGCCUGUUCUUGACGCUGAGGCGCGAAAGCUAGGGGAGCAAACGGG